RNAcentral lists this long non-coding RNA (7276 nucleotides) under Sorghum bicolor (sorghum). Its description in RNAcentral is "long non-coding RNA (SBIC_LNC005468)". The record is from RNAcentral. Lineage: Eukaryota; Viridiplantae; Streptophyta; Magnoliopsida; Poales; Poaceae.
GGGAUGACAACUUGGCUUAAGUGGUGUGAGGGAUAGGUUUGGCAUUUUUGGCACCGUUGCAAGAUUUAGAACUUAGUCUACUUUUAGUAAUGAUGUUAAGAAUACCCAACAGUUAGCAAAGUUCACAAAAGGUAAGGACCUUCAAAGUGAGCUUUUCAUGAACACCGUCAUGAAGAUGGAUAAGAGUGGGAUUGGCUACAAGGCUCAUCAAACAAAGCUCAUCAAGUCACUAGCCACUCAUGAUCAACCAAGCAAGCCAAAUCCAAAGAGAUGUUUUGAGUGUGGUCAAGAAGGACACUUUGCUCAUGAGUGUAAGGCACCACUACCACCACCCUUGCCCAAACAUGCAAGACCAUUUGCCUUCAAUGCUCACUACAUUGUAAGGAAAGACAAGAGUGGCAAGGUCAAGGUUAGCUUCAUGGGGCCGCCCAACAAGCAAAGGCCAAAGAAGAUUUGGGUGCCAAAGCAACUAGUAGAGAAGGUCAAGGGCACUAAGCAAAUGUGGGUCCCUAAAUCUCAAGCUUGAUCUCUUGUGUGUAGGUGAACUACAAGACCGAUGGAUCACAUUGGGUAAUUGAUAGUGAUUGCACUCAACAUAUGACCGGAGAUCCCUGGAUGUUCACCUCUCUUGAUGAAGAUGUUGACAACCAAGAGAAGAUCACAUUUGGUGACAAUUCAAAAGGCAAGGUCAAGGGACUAGCAAAGGUUGCUAUAUCAAAUGACAACUCCAUCACCAAUGUGCUCUAUGUGCAAUCAUUGAGUUUCAACUUGCUCUCGGUUGGACAACUUUGUGAUCUUGGAUUUGAAUGCCUAUUCAAGAAGAAGGAAGUAAUUGUGACCAAGGAAGAUGACAAUGAAGUGAUAUUCAAAGGCUCCCGACACAACAACCUAUAUGUAGUUGAUUUCUCAUCCGAUGAAGUUGAUGUCAAGACUUGCUUAUUCACCAAGACUUCACUUGGGUGGUUGUGGCAUAGAAGGUUGUUGGGUAUUCUUAACAUCACUACCAAAAGUAGACUUAAUUUUCUAAUUCUAGUAACGGUGCCAAAAAUGCCAAACCUAUCCCUCAUACCACUUAAGCCAAGUUGUCAUCCCCAGCAUGACAUGAGAGACACGGUAUUGAAAUAUGAAAUUGCUCUUCUAAAUAAAUAAUGAAUGGGAUCUGCAAGCGCACAGAUUAAUACCGAUGUAGCAUUUUAACCGGGAAGUAUUCCAGGUAUCGUUAUUUAUAUUUUUACCACUGGGAAGGGAUUAACAAUCAUCACUAUUGAUUACAGAAUAGAAUAUGAGAUUGAGUAUCUAUCAUUGCAUGUAUAAUUGAGAACAUUUAUCUAACUCUUUCAUACAGGGGUAAGUGUCACAUAAAAGAUAUAUGAAAUAAUGAAUAGUGACAAAGAUAAUUAAUCUGAUCAUAACUAGCCACAUAAUAAAUAUGAUAAGCACCUCAAUUAGAUACUCUAGAAAGUCAUUAGCAUGGAAUUAGAACGAACUACAAGAAUAUUUCCUAAGUUAUUCUCAACUAUAUAGUCUAGCAUUAUCAUAGUUAGUGUAAGCAUACUUAGCAAUCAUUGCGAGACAAGACUACGCCCAUGCAUAGUGAUAUAUGCAAGGUAAAUGAGAAACAUAGCAAUCACUCCCCUGUAAUAAUAUUGCUCUGCCAGCCCAAUACACGAGAGGGGGACUAUAUAAGAAUCAAUGAAGCUGUCACUAUCACGAACUACCCCACGAUCUGGCAUAUUGGGUACAAUCGCAGAUAAAUACGGUAUAAGCACCACGCCUACACAAUAUCUAUCAUUUACCCAUGGAUCCAAUGGAUAAACUCUAUACGAUCCUAAGCAUGUAUAUAGAUCCAAUCUAACUAAGCCAAGUACAUAACUAUGAUAAACUAAGAACAAUAUAAUCUUGAAUAUAAACAAGUAGAGCAAAGUCAUAAGCAAUAUAUUGAAGUAGAACAAAGUCAUAUUCAUAAUAUUGAAGAACAAAGAUAAUUAGAAAGCAAUUAGAAGCACAAUUAGAGAAUUACCAAGAAUCCUCUUGAUAGAUCCGGAAACCAAUCGAAGAUUGACUCCUUCUAGUUCUAAUCCUAUGUAGCUAUGCUAAUCUAGAUAUCUAAUUGAUGUGGUGGCUCUAAUCUUGAUCAGAGGCUUCUUCUCCCUUGAGGAACAAUGAAUUAGGGUUGACAGGUGUUGACGGUCCUUAAGUAUCAAAUUUAAUUAUCAAAUAAAUAAAGAAAAGGAUCCAAAUGAAAUCAAGAUCUAGACUUAGGGUUUUAUCUGACAGAAUUCCACGAGUUUUGGUGUUUGUCUAUUUCUGCAGGGGGUUAUCAGGAAAUAUGGAAGAAAGGCCCACAUGUCGGGAUUACUUAAAGAUAUUAACGUGCUACGCAAUUAUCUUACAUCUAGAAGACUCCAGAAGCCACGAGACCGAAGCGGAGGCGAAACGGGGCAAGAGGCAGGGCGCCCGCCCUGUCCUACUGGGCGCCCGCCCCCUGUUGGAGUCCAAACAGGACUCUGCUUUGCGGGAAGUCUCCACCGACCUAAAGGAUGAAUCUAAACCAUACAAUCUAUGUCGGUUUGAUCCAAGGGCCCAUAUUCACUUGAAGGGACUAUAAAACCAGACCCCCUGGCCCCUGGAGGAGAGAGCCUCUCAACCCUAAUUCAUUGUUCCAUCAAGGGAGAAGAAGCCUCUGAUCAAGAUUAGAGCCACCACAUCAAUUAGAUAUCUAGAUUAGCAUAGCUACAUAGGAUUAGAACUAGAAGGAGUCAAUCUUCGAUUGGUUUCCAGAUCUGUCAGGAGGAUUCUUGGUAAUUCUCUAAUUGUGCUUCUAAUUACUUUCUAAUUAUCUUUGUUCUUCAAUAUUAUGAAUAUGACUUUGUUCUACUUCAAUAUCACUAUGCAUGGGCGUAGUCUUGUCUCACAAUGAUUGCUAAGUAUGCUUGCACUAACUAUGAUAAUGCUAGACUAUAUAGUUAAGAAUAACUUAGGGAAUAUUCUUGUAGUUCGUUCUAAUACCAUGCUAAUGACUUUCUAGAGUAUCUAAUUGAGGUGCUUAUCAUAUUUAUUAUGUGGCUAGAUCAGAUUAGUUAUCCUUGUCACUAUUAUUAUUUCAUAUAUCCUUUAUGUGACACUUAUCCCUGUAUGAUGAGUUAGAUAUAAUGUUCUCAAUUAUACAUGCAAUGAUAGAUGCUCAAUCUCAUAUUCUAUUCUAUAAUCAAUAGUGAUGAUUGCUAAUCCCUUCCCAGUGGUAAAAAUAUAAAUAACGAUACCUGGAAUACUUCCCGGUUAAAAUGCUGCAUCGGUAUUAAUCUGUGCGCUUGCAGAUCCCAUUCAUUAUUUAUUUAGGAGCAAUUGCAUAUUUCAAUACCGCGUCUCUCAUAUCAUGCUGGGGAUGACAACUUGGCUUAAGUGGUGUGAGGGAUAGGUUUGGCAUUUUUGGCACCGUUGCUAGAUUUAGAGAACUUAGUCUACUUUUAGUAAUGAUGUUAAGAAUACCCAACAACAGGCUCCCUCCUCCAGGGGCUAGGGGGUCUGGUUUUAUAGUCCCUUCAAGUGAAUAUGGGCCGUUGGAUCAAACCGACAUUGAUUGAACGGUUAUCCUUAAUCCUUUAGGUCGGUGGAGAUCUUUCCUGAGACAGAGUCCUGAUUGGACUCCAAGUCAGGGCGGGCGCCCAGGGAAGGAGGGCGGGCGCCCUGCCUCUGGCCCCGUUAGGCCUCCGCUUUCUUCCCGUGGCUUCUGGAGUCUUCUAGAUGUAAGAUAAUUGCGCGGCACGUUAAUAUCUCUAUGUAAUCCUGACGUGUGGGCCUUUCUUCCGUAUUUCCUGAUAACCCCCUGCAGAAAUAGACAAACACCAAAACUCAUGGAAUUCUGUCAGAUGAAACCCUUAGUCUAGGUGUUGAUUUCAUUUGGAUCCUUUUCUUUGUUUAUUUGAUAAUUAAAUUUGAUACUUAAGGACCGUCAACAAACUCCCCCAAGCUUACCUCUUGCUCGUCCCUGAGCAAGGAUAGAUUAGAAGUUGCUGCAAUACUUUUUUAAAAAUUGACGGUACGCAUGCUCUUUAAAUAAAAUCUCAUCUCUAAGUUAGAGUAAACUGUCAAGACUUAAAACUUAUUCAUUUUACCUUUCACCAUGGGACUUGUAACCGUCUCUUCUGUCUUGAGUAGUUAAAAGAUAGAACAGUCUAAUCAAGUGCCAUGUCUCUUAUUCUUGAUCAGCUACAACUCUAGAGUUUUUACAGAUUUUCAAAUAAAACUCAGAGAUUCCUUGUAUGACUCUCUCAAAUCUCUUUUUUGUAGUAUUUCUGGAUCCUUACCAAGGCAGUGAUGGUAUAUGCCUUCUCUCAAUAUAUGUAGUAUUUGUGGUAUAAGACAUAGUGACAUUGCCUUCUCUCUCACCCUACUCAAAUAAGGCUUUAAUAUCUGGAGCUCAUAGGUGGGAGAUAAAAUAUACAUACUUACAAGACAUGUAUUGUAUAGUCAAACCAUGGAUCCAAAGAAACAAAUCAAUAAGUCAAAUCAAGAUGUGCAUGUGCGGCGAAUGAAUGGUGUAUGGUGAUGAUGGUGAUAACAAUGGUGAAAGCCUAAUUCUACUUUUGCUCUUUGAGGGGAUACAUACCUUCCUUGCUUUUUGAAAUUUUGUGAGGAGAAUGAGAUGCUCUUCUUUUUUCUUUUUCUUUCCUCUCAGGUGGGUAUCUUAUACCCCUAAUUCUACUGUCGGACACUUGUCCAUUUUUACCUCUCGUCUCACUCUUUUUCUUUUCUUUCGAGGUUCCGGGCACUUGCCCCUUUUUAUUUCCUCGUAUCUUUUUUUCUCUUUUUUUAGUGCACUCAUCUCUUGAGAUAAUAUAGCAAGUGGUAGUAACAAGAUAUCUUGAGCAUUUAUUUCACAAGGAAAAACAGAAAUAUUUUUGGCUAUUCUCUCCCGGAUUAGGAGUAGAAUAUUUUUAGGUGGUUCUGGAGAUGGAAUGGGUUGAUAUAUGUGGAUGGUACUUCCGGAGUAGAAGUAGCAUAUAUGAGUGAACGUGCAAGUGAAAUCUUGAUUUAACCACAUGACAAGCUCCUAAGGGUCUACACAGCUUGACCACACUCAAUGCUCAUAAACAGUAAAUGUGUGGCUCAAAGUCUAGCAAGCAUGUAUAUAUGGCUGUGGUAGAAAUUUAAACUCUCAUCAUACAGGAACUCAUCAUGCAACAUUUUAAAGAUUUUCAAAGAUAAAAUUCUCCAGAAUUCUAGCAUCUCUAGGAACAGAUAAACAGCAGCUCAACCUUCCCAUAUCGUAUCCGUUAACAACUUAGACUUCAGAUCAAGUUUUCUUCCCACAAGUUUAGGUUUAGGGCAAGCUUUAAAUUACAACAGUUAUGUCUAAACUUGAGAGAGAACUUCAAAUUUUAAAAUUAGGUAGAGCAACUAUUCAUCAUAUCCAUGCUAGACUUUUAUUAUUAAGAUUCAGAUUAGCAUAGCCACUUUAUUUAUUUAUUAAACUAAGCAAAUAUAUAUAUAUAUAUAAGUAUAAAAUCUUUAUUUGGUUUUCCAUAGUUAUGUAUAUUUAAUAUAGUAAAAGUAUAAAGAUAGAUAGAAAUACUUAUCGGAAUAAAUGGGGGUGCUCUCCCCCAAGCUGAAUUUUGACGUAAUUUCUUUUGAUGUAGCUAGCAGGUGGCAGAGGUGUAUUUGAAAGUCGGCAGUAUUCUGACAGCGAUUAGAAUGUCCUCCGUCUGCUAGUCUUCUUGAUUCUUAAAUUCUGUGGAGCUCAAAUAGACAAUAAAGCUUGUAGAACUGAUUAAGUGUUAGCAUAAAUAUCUAGCCUUUAUCAUGUUGAGACUCCUUAAUAAUUAUUACUCCCUAUUUUUAUAUUUUUAUUUUAUAAAGCAGAAAUGAAAUAUUUUUUUUAUUUUUUUUAUGCCACCACAGUGAAUGUACUUAUGGGUUUUAUGCCACUCGUAUACUCACAUGGGGCUUACUGUUUUUCACAUUUUUAUUUUCUUUUUAGGAUAGCAUGAAUAUGAUUAACUAAGUAGACUAUUUUAAAAUAAUUGAAAGGGAAAGGAUAACUACCAAGUUUACCUCUUGGCAAGGCAUUCGGUGUUUUUAAGUCCUCCGAACGGGACUCUCCAUUUUCUAGUUGUCCUAGGAUUCGUUGGGUGGCGUAGUCGGUACUUCCGGCAGCGCCUCUUCUUCAUGUAUAGUUAUCUUCUCUUUCCAUACCUGACUCGGUGCUUCGGUCUCCUCUGGAUAAUUCUGUUUAAACUGUAUGUCUUCUGACCUUACCACUUCUCCUUCAUAGUCUACCCAUCUAUCCUUGAUGAUUUGCCUCCUUUGGUUGCGAUUGCGUCGUUUUCUGACCUGCUUAGAUUCUUCAAAGAUGUAGUUAGGGUCAGUAAAAUAAUGACGUACCUUCUCUGAGGGGAAGUGCAUAUAGACUUCUCCAGUUUCAAUGUAGAUGAUUGCUUUAACGGUGCUGAGGAACGGUCUUCCAAGGAUGAUGGGUGGAUCGUACUCGUCUUCUCCCAUGUCAAUAACCUGAAAGUCUGUGUAGACAAAAUGAUCGUCUAUUUUGACAGGGACAUCUGUUAUUGUUCCUUUAACUUCUCGAAACAUCUGAUCUGGUAUCUGGAGCUGAAUGUAUGUUGGUUUUAGGGGCAUGGUUCCGAACAAGAGCCGAUAGGUGACUGCGGCCAUUAUGUUGACGCCCGAUCCGGUGUCGUAAGUCGUCUUGUAGAAGUUGUACCAUUUAUGGAGCAAUAGAAGCUUGGCAUUCCUGGGUCGUCCUUCUUGGUCAGAAACGGUGACUUAAGUUGAUGAUCUUGAGCUCCUUGAACUGCAGUGACCAUUUUAGCUGACUCGGUCCACACUUGCUUGUUCCUGUUCCUCCUGUUGGUCCUCUUCCUUGAUUCACGUCUGGAUUGAUCUAGGAUUUGUGUAGUCUUGUUCUUGAAGGAAAAUGUCUCCUUCCUCUCUUUGAUGUAGAAACUGAUCUUGGCAGCACUAGCGUAGAUGAUAGCUCCCGCGGUGUUUAAGAAUGGCCUCCGUAAGAUAAUGGGUGCUCUCUCAUCAUUACCGGAAUCUAUCACCAUGAAGUCUGCUAGGGCAUACAAGGUACUAACUCGGACACAAAGGUUCUUCAAUAUUCCCUUGGGGAAACUUAAUGCCUGAUCUGCAAACUGCAAACACAUGGUUGUUUCUAAUAAAGGAUAUGUAAAGAAUUUUUUAUAGAGUACCCUGGGUAUAAUAUUGACACUGGAGCCAAAGUCACAGAGUGCUUCUGGGACGUCCACCAUGCCGAUGG